GACGAACGCUGGCGGCGUGCUUAACACAUGCAAGUCGAACGGAGUGCCUAUGAUAGAGACUUCGGUCAAUGGAUUAGGUUACUUAGUGGCGGACUGGUGAGUAACGCGUGAGGAACCUGCCUUUCAGAGGGGGACAACAGUUGGAAACGACUGCUAAUACCGCAUGACACAUCGAUGGGGCAUCCCAUUGAUGUCAAAGAUUUAUCGCUGAAAGAUGGCCUCGCGUCUGAUUAGAUAGUUGGCGGGGUAACGGCCCACCAAGUCGACGAUCAGUAGGGGUUCUGAGAGGAAGGUCCCCCACAUUGGAACUGAGACACGGUCCAAACUCCUACGGGAGGCAGCAGUGAGGAAUAUUGGUCAAUGGGCGAGAGCCUGAACCAGCCAAGUAGCGUGCAGGAUGACGGCCCUAUGGGUUGUAAACUGCUUUUAUACGGGGAUAAAGUUCGCCACGUGUGGCGUUUUGCAGGUACCGCAUGAAUAAGGACCGGCUAAUU
RNAcentral lists this ribosomal RNA (494 nucleotides) under uncultured bacterium. RNAcentral's name for it is "bacterial SSU rRNA". It matches the Rfam family "Bacterial small subunit ribosomal RNA", at positions 28 to 502 of the family's 1533-position model. The record is from RNAcentral.